GUGGGGAAUUUUGGACAAUGGGCGAAAGCCUGAUCCAGCAAUGCCGCGUGUGUGAAGAAGGCCUUCGGGUUGUAAAGCACUUUUGGCAGGGAAGAAACAGUGCGUGCUAAUACCAUGCGCGAAUGACGGUACCUGCAGAAUAAGCACCGGCUAACUACGUGCCAGCAGCCGCGGUAAUACGUAGGGUGCAAGCGUUAAUCGGAAUUACUGGGCGUAAAGCGUGCGCAGGCGGCUUUGUAAGACGGAUGUGAAAGCCCCGGGCUCAACCUGGGAAGUGCAUUCGUGACUGCAAGGCUAGAGUGUGUCAGGGGGAGGUGGAAUUCCGCGUGUAGCAGUGAAAUGCGUAGAGAUGCGGAGGAACACCGAUGGCGAAGGCAGCCUCCUGGGAUAACACUGACGCUCAGGCACGAAAGCGUGGGGAGCAAACAGGAUUAGAAACCCGGGUAGUCC
This 450-nucleotide ribosomal RNA is filed under the name uncultured bacterium. Its description in RNAcentral is "bacterial SSU rRNA". It matches the Rfam family "Bacterial small subunit ribosomal RNA", at positions 354 to 796 of the family's 1533-position model. The record is from RNAcentral.